Molecule: ribosomal RNA, 519 nt
Filed under: uncultured Glomus
Lineage: Eukaryota; Fungi; Glomeromycota; Glomeromycetes; Glomerales; Glomeraceae
Description: SSU rRNA
Rfam family: Eukaryotic small subunit ribosomal RNA
Source: RNAcentral
AGCAGCCGCGGUAAUUCCAGCUCCAAUAGCGUAUAUUAAAGUUGUUGCAGUUAAAAAGCUCGUAGUUGAAUUUCGGGAUCAGUUUGUUGGUCGUGCUUCGGUACGUACUGUCAUUACUGGUUUCUACCUUCUGAAGAACCUUGAUGUCAUUAAUUUGGUGUCUUGGGGAAUCAGGACUGUUACUUUGAAAAAAUUAGAGUGUUUAAAGCAAGCAUACGCUUGAAUACAUUAGCAUGGAAUAAUGAAAUAGGACGUUUGAUUCUAUUUUGUUGGUUUCUAGGAUCGACGUAAUGAUUAAUAGGGAUAGUUGGGGGCAUUAGUAUUCAAUUGUCAGAGGUGAAAUUCUUGGAUUUAUUGAAGACUAACUACUGCGAAAGCAUUUGCCAAGGAUGUUUUCAUUAAUCAAGAACGAAAGUUAGGGGAUCGAAGACGAUCAGAUACCGUCGUAGUCUUAACCAUAAACUAUGCCGACUAGGGAUCGGAUGAUGUUAUUUUUAAUGACUCAUUCGGCGCCUUAAC